GUGAAGUCCUCCGUGCUGUCUGACCCACUUUAAGUUACUUGCUUGUUUGUUUCCUGGCUUCCCCUCUGGAAGCAUUGCCCCAUGAGGGGAAUGUGUGUGUUAUGACUGCUUUCUUACCUUUGCCUGUGGCACUGUGCCAUGUGCAAGCGACCUCAAGCGUUGAACGCAGAAAGAAUACAAGGAAGAACACACAGCAGAUCUGAAAGCACCUUGGAAACCAGUGGCUGCUUUUACCAGCACUUACACGUCUUAACAGGCUGUGGCUGGUUGUCAGAUAAAGGCCUCAUCCCCGGAAGGUUUCUGUAGAACCUGAAACUGCCAGACCCCGACCUAAGAAAAUGGAAGCCUUAGGCGAUCAUGGACCCUGGUGGGGGCACCAAGAGAUUAAGAGAUUAUGAAAAGAAAAGUUUAGACUAGAAAAUCCCCAUGUGAGGGCUGAUUGACCUAUGAACCACCAAGACAACCUAAAGUAGGCAAACUGAAGCUGGCCUGGCCUGGCCUGGCCUCCCCCUGGGACCUUAAUGGACUUGCCUCCUUGGAGACUGGGUACCUUGACCUAAUCCCACUUUUGGCAUCGCUUGAUGUUGGACUCAGAGGAGAUGCUCCUCUGACCUGCGAUAAGAACUCAGCGUGGCCAUGGGCUCACCAGCCUUGUCAUCUUUCGGGGCCAUCGAGAAGACUUCAUUUCCCAGCCUCAACUCCCAAGGUGAUGUAGUGCUAUGGUUGGCUCCCACCAAAACUCAUCGAAGUCUGGUUACCGAGGUAAUUGUGUUGGUCCAGCCUUCCCACUACCCCUAGAGUGACACGUCUUGCUUUUUUCCCUGCCUCCCACCAUGCCCAUGAGUUGAAGAUAAGGGUCUCAUAAAACAGAAGGAAUUUGCAUUGAGCAUCUUGGGAAGCUGAGGUCAGAGGAUCAGGAGUUCAGGGGCAUUCUCUGCUACACUGCUGGUUCAGUGCCAGCUUGGACUACAUAAGACCCUGAGCCUGCCCCCUGCACCUCCACCCCUGCCCAGGAAAGGAAGGAGAUUGGAUGUGGGAGCUGCUGUGCUCAGGAGAUUCAUUGACCUGUGCUGUAUUUGUGCAAGCAAGAAAUAAACCUUUAUUACCACUGC
Molecule: long non-coding RNA, 1112 nt
Filed under: Mus pahari (shrew mouse)
Lineage: Eukaryota; Metazoa; Chordata; Mammalia; Rodentia; Muridae
Description: lncRNA (MGP_PahariEiJ_G0006218.1)
Source: RNAcentral